AAGCUAUUUAGGUAGCGCCUCGUGAACUCAUCUCCGGGGGUAGAGCACUGUUUCGGCAAGGGGGUCAUCCCGACUUACCAACCCGAUGCAAACUGCGAAUACCGGAGAAUGUUAUCACGGGAGACACACGGCGGGUGCUAACGUCCGUCGUGAAGAGGGAAACAACCCAGACCGCCAGCUAAGGUCCCAAAGUCAUGGUUAAGUGGGAAACGAUGUGGGAAGGCCCAGACAGCCAGGAUGUUGGCUUAGAAGCAGCCAUCAUUUAAAGAAAGCGUAAUAGCUCACUGGUCGAGUCGGCCUGCGCGGAAGAUGUAACGGGGCUAAACCAUG
RNAcentral lists this ribosomal RNA (330 nucleotides) under Escherichia coli. RNAcentral describes it as "partial 23S ribosomal RNA". It matches the Rfam family "Bacterial large subunit ribosomal RNA", at positions 863 to 1191 of the family's 2925-position model. The record is from RNAcentral. Lineage: Bacteria; Pseudomonadati; Pseudomonadota; Gammaproteobacteria; Enterobacterales; Enterobacteriaceae.